ACGAACGCUGGCGGCGCGCUUCACACAUUCCAGUCGAACGGAAAGGCCUGCUUUCCCUUGUGGAUUGCGGGUACUCGAGUGGCGAACGGGUGAGUAACACGUGAGUGAUCUGCCCCCAACUUGGGUAUAAGCCUGGGAAACUGGGUCUAAUUCCCGAUAGGACUGCAGGGUGGUGCCUGUGGUGGAAAACGAUUUUCUAGUGGUUGGGGAUAAGCUCGCGGCCUAUCAGCUUGUUGGUGGGGUAAUGGCCUACCAAGGCGGCGACGGGUAGCCGGCCUGAGAGGGUGGACGGCGACAUUGGGACUGAGAUACGGCCCAGACUCCUACGGGAGGCAGCAGUGGGGAAUAAUGCACAAUGGGCGGAAGACUGAUGCAGCGACGCCGAGUGGGGGAUGACGGCCUUCGGGUUGUAAACUCCUUUCGACAGCGAGGAAGCCACCUGGUUGGAAGGGUGGUGACGGUAGUGGUAGAAGAAGCACCGGCUAACUACGUG
Molecule: ribosomal RNA, 493 nt
Filed under: uncultured bacterium
Lineage: Bacteria
Description: partial 16S ribosomal RNA
Rfam family: Bacterial small subunit ribosomal RNA
Source: RNAcentral